GAUGAACGCUGGCGGCGUGCCUAAUACAUGCAAGUCGAGCGAACAGACGAGGAGCUUGCUCCUCUGACGUUAGCGGCGGACGGGUGAGUAACACGUGGAUAACCUACCUAUAAGACUGGGAUAACUUCGGGAAACCGGAGCUAAUACCGGAUAAUAUAUUGAACCGCAUGGUUCAAUAGUGAAAGACGGUUUUGCUGUCACUUAUAGAUGGAUCCGCGCCGCAUUAGCUAGUUGGUAAGGUAACGGCUUACCAAGGCAACGAUGCGUAGUCGACCUGAGAGGGUGAUCGGCCACACUGGAACUGAGACACGGUCCAGACUCCUACGGGAGGCAGCAGUAGGGAAUCUUCCGCAAUGGGCGAAAGCCUGACGGAGCAACGCCGCGUGAGUGAUGAAGGUCUUCGGAUCGUAAAACUCUGUUAUUAGGGAAGAACAAAUGUGUAAGUAACUAUGCACGUCUUGACGGUACCUAAUCAGAAAGCCACGGCUAACUACGU
Molecule: ribosomal RNA, 496 nt
Filed under: uncultured bacterium
Lineage: Bacteria
Description: partial 16S ribosomal RNA
Rfam family: Bacterial small subunit ribosomal RNA
Source: RNAcentral